Molecule: ribosomal RNA, 207 nt
Filed under: uncultured delta proteobacterium
Lineage: Bacteria; Deltaproteobacteria
Description: partial 16S ribosomal RNA
Rfam family: Bacterial small subunit ribosomal RNA
Source: RNAcentral
CGUGUAGGCUGCUUGGAAAGUCGGAUGUGAAAGCCCUGGGCUCAACCUAGGAAGAGCAUUCGAAACUUCCAAGCUCGAGUUUCGGAGAGGAAGGCGGAAUUCUCGGUGUAGAGGUGAAAUUCGUAGAUAUCGAGAGGAACAUCGGUGGCGAAGGCGGCCUUCUGGACGAUGACUGACGCUGAGACGCGAAAGCGUGGGGAGCAAACA